This 253-nucleotide ribosomal RNA is filed under the name uncultured bacterium. RNAcentral's name for it is "partial 16S ribosomal RNA". It matches the Rfam family "Bacterial small subunit ribosomal RNA", at positions 524 to 776 of the family's 1533-position model. The record is from RNAcentral.
UACGUAGGGUGCGAGCGUUGUCCGGAAUUAUUGGGCGUAAAGGGCUCGUAGGCGGUUUGUCGCGUCGGGUGUGAAAACACUGGGCUUAACUCAGUGCUGGCUUUCGAUACGGGCAGACUAGAGGUAUGCAGGGGAGAACGGAAUUCCUGGUGUAGCGGUGAAAUGCGCAGAUAUCAGGAGGAACACCGGUGGCGAAGGCGGUUCUCUGGGCAUUACCUGACGCUGAGGAGCGAAAGUGUGGGGAGCGAACAGG